Molecule: ribosomal RNA, 464 nt
Filed under: uncultured bacterium
Lineage: Bacteria
Description: partial 16S ribosomal RNA
Rfam family: Bacterial small subunit ribosomal RNA
Source: RNAcentral
ACGAACGCUGGCGGCGUGCUUAACACCUGCAAGUCGCACGGAAAGGCCCUGCUUGCCGGGUACUCGAGUGGCGAACGGGUGAGUAACACGUGGGUGAUCUGCCCUGCACUUCGGGAUAAGCCUGGGAAACUGGGUCUAAUACCGGAUAGGAGCCAUUUUUAGUGUGAUGGUUGGAAAGUUUUUUCGGUGUAGGAUGAGCUCGCGGCCUAUCAGCUUGUUGGUGGGGUAAUGGCCUACCAAGGCGGCGACGGGUAGCCGGCCUGAGAGGGUGGACGGCCACAUUGGGACUGAGAUACGGCCCAGACUCCUACGGGAGGCAGCAGUGGGGAAUAUUGCACAAUGGGCGCAAGCCUGAUGCAGCGACGCCGCGUGGGGGAUGACGGCCUUCGGGUUGUAAACUCCUUUCGCUAGGGACGAAGCUUUUUGUGACGGUACCUAGAUAAGAAGCACCGGCUAACUACGUG